CCUACGUGUGGCAGCAGUGGGGAAUAUUGCACAAUGGGGGGAACCCUGAUGCAGCAACGCCGCGUGGGUGAAGAAGUACUCCGGUAUGUAAAGCCCUGUCAGCAGGGAAGAAAAUGACGGUACCUGACCAAGAAGCCACGGCUACCUACGUGCCAGCAGCCGCGGUAAUACGUAGGGGGCAAGCGUUAUCCGGAUUUACUGGGUGGAAAGGGAGCGUAGACGGCAAGGCAAGUCUGGAGUGAAAGCCCGGGGCCCAACCACGGGACUGCUUUGGAAACUGUGUUGCUGGAGUGCAGGAGGGGUAAGCGGAAUUCCUAGUGUAGCGGUGAAAUGCGUAGAUAUUAGGAGGAACACCGGUGGCGAAGGCGGCUUACUGGACUGUAACUGACGUUGAGGCUCGAAGGCGUGGGGAGCAAACAGGAUUAGAUACCCUUGUAGUC
Molecule: ribosomal RNA, 440 nt
Filed under: uncultured bacterium
Lineage: Bacteria
Description: partial 16S ribosomal RNA
Rfam family: Bacterial small subunit ribosomal RNA
Source: RNAcentral